UAAUGUUUGAUGUUCUAACGUGGACCCGUGAUCCGGGUUGCGGACAGUGUCUGGUGGGUAGUUUGACUGGGGCGGUCUCCUCCUAAAGAGUAACGGAGGAGCACGAAGGUUGGCUAAUCCUGGUCGGACAUCAGGAGGUUAGUGCAAUGGCAUAAGCCAGCUUGACUGCGAGCGUGACGGCGCGAGCAGGUGCGAAAGCAGGUCAUAGUGAUCCGGUGGUUCUGAAUGGAAGGGCCAUCGCUCAACGGAUAAAAGGUACUCCGGGGAUAACAGGCUGAUACCGCCCAAGAGUUCAUAUCGACGGCGGUGUUUGGCACCUCGAUGUCGGCUCAUCACAUCCUGGGGCUGAAGUAGGUCCCAAGGGUAUGGCUGUUCGCCAUUUAAAGUGGUACGCGAGCUGGGUUUAGAACGUCGUGAGACAGUUCGGUCCCUAUCUGCCGUGGGCGCUGGAGAACUGAGGGGGGCUGCUCCUAGUACGAGAGGACCGGAGUGGACGCAUCACUGGUGUUCGGGUUGUCAUGCCAAUGGCACUGCCCGGUAGCUAAAUGCGGAAGAGAUAAGUGCUGAAAGCAUCUAAGCACGAAACUUGCCCCGAGAUGAGUUCUCCCUGAGACUUUAGGUCUCCUGAAGGAACGUUGAAGACGACGACGUUGAUAGGCCGGGUGUGUAAGCGCAGCGAUGCGUUGAGCUAACCGGUACUAAUGAACCGUGAGGCUUAACCUUACA
RNAcentral lists this ribosomal RNA (726 nucleotides) under Salmonella enterica. Its description in RNAcentral is "partial 23S ribosomal RNA". It matches the Rfam family "Bacterial large subunit ribosomal RNA", at positions 2208 to 2925 of the family's 2925-position model. RNAcentral also lists the same sequence under 1 other name. Lineage: Bacteria; Pseudomonadati; Pseudomonadota; Gammaproteobacteria; Enterobacterales; Enterobacteriaceae. The record is from RNAcentral.